This 554-nucleotide ribosomal RNA is filed under the name Pichia kudriavzevii. RNAcentral describes it as "eukaryotic LSU rRNA". It matches the Rfam family "Eukaryotic large subunit ribosomal RNA", at positions 51 to 493 of the family's 3401-position model. The record is from RNAcentral. Lineage: Eukaryota; Fungi; Ascomycota; Pichiomycetes; Pichiales; Pichiaceae.
CUGAGGAAAAGAACCAACAGGGAUUGCCUCAGUAGCGGCGAGUGAAGCGGCAAGAGCUCAGAUUUGAAAUCGUGCUUUGCGGCACGAGUUGUAGAUUGCAGGUUGGAGUCUGUGUGGAAGGCGGUGUCCAAGUCCCUUGGAACAGGGCGCCCAGGAGGGUGAGAGCCCCGUGGGAUGCCGGCGGAAGCAGUGAGGCCCUUCUGACGAGUCGAGUUGUUUGGGAAUGCAGCUCCAAGCGGGUGGUAAAUUCCAUCUAAGGCUAAAUACUGGCGAGAGACCGAUAGCGAACAAGUACUGUGAAGGAAAGAUGAAAAGCACUUUGAAAAGAGAGUGAAACAGCACGUGAAAUUGUUGAAAGGGAAGGGUAUUGCGCCCGACAUGGGGAUUGCGCACCGCUGCCUCUCGUGGGCGGCGCUCUGGGCUUUCCCUGGGCCAGCAUCGGUUCUUGCUGCAGGAGAAGGGGUUCUGGAACGUGGCUCUUCGGAGUGUUAUAGCCAGGGCCAGAUGCUGCGUGCGGGGACCGAGGACUGCGGCCGUGUAGUCACGAUGCGCAA